This 200-nucleotide ribosomal RNA is filed under the name uncultured Glomus. RNAcentral describes it as "partial small subunit ribosomal RNA". It matches the Rfam family "Eukaryotic small subunit ribosomal RNA", at positions 591 to 791 of the family's 1831-position model. Lineage: Eukaryota; Fungi; Glomeromycota; Glomeromycetes; Glomerales; Glomeraceae. The record is from RNAcentral.
CCAAUAGCGUAUAUUAAAGUUGUUGCAGUUAAAAAGCUCGUAGUUGAACCUUAGGCCCGUGCGGGCGGUCCGUCCUCUGGGCGAGCACUGCUUCGUCGCGGGUCUCACCUUCUGGCGAGCGUGGAUGCCAUUUAUUUGGUGUCCGCGGGAACCAGGACCUUUACCUUGAAAAAAUUAGAGUGCUCAAAGCGGGCUCCGAC